Molecule: ribosomal RNA, 438 nt
Filed under: Hapalemur occidentalis (Sambirano bamboo lemur)
Lineage: Eukaryota; Metazoa; Chordata; Mammalia; Primates; Lemuridae
Description: partial 12S ribosomal RNA
Rfam family: Bacterial small subunit ribosomal RNA
Source: RNAcentral
AAACUAGAUUAGAUACCCUAUUAUGCUUAGCCGUAAACCUAAAUAAUUAAUAAACAAAAUUAUUCGCCAGAGUACUACAAGCAACAGCUUAAAACUCAAAGGACUUGGCGGUGCUUUAUAUCCCUCUAGAGGAGCCUGUUCUAUAAUCGAUAAACCCCGAUAAACCUCACCACUUCUUGCUAAUUCAACUUAUAUACCGCCAUCCUCAGCAAACCCUGUCAAGGCCUCAAAGUAAGCAAAAACACAUACAUAAAAACGUUAGGUCAAGGUGUAGUCUAUGAAGUGGAAAGAAAUGGGCUACAUUUUCUAACAUAAGAACAACAUCCCAACAAAAGCCUUUAUGAAACUAAAAGCCAAAGGAGGAUUUAGCAGUAAAUUAAGAAUAGAGAGCUUAAUUCAAUUGGGCCAUGAAGCACGCACACAUCGCCCGUCGCUCUU